AUGGAGUGAAUAUGAUGAUUCUGUGAAGGUUUAUUGCAACAUGGCUUUUUCAGCACAGCAACAGGAAAAUUUGACUCUGGGUCUGUUCUACAAAAUUAAAGCGUUCUCAGCACAAAAAACAGCAUAGACUGUGAGUGAUGGUGGCCAUCUUGGUUCAUGUGUAAAGACUGAAUUUCAGUGACUACCAAUGGCUAUUUCUUAGAAUGUGGCACUUACCCUGGGUUCAGGCUGUGGUCCUUCUACUGCCCAUGAAUGAAUUGCUCCAUCUGAACAUUCGGGGACAGGCUCAAAGCCAGCUGCACUACGAGGAGCACCUCCACAAUCACAACAGAUCAUCAAAAAUGGGACCACUGGUGGUGGAAGGAUAGUAAUACUAGAGUUAGCACUGGGUGCAAAUAAAAAACAAAACAACCUGA
This 416-nucleotide non-coding RNA is filed under the name Pongo abelii (Sumatran orangutan). Lineage: Eukaryota; Metazoa; Chordata; Mammalia; Primates; Hominidae. The record is from RNAcentral.